GUCUACAGCCAUGCUACCCUGAACAAGCCCGAUCUCAUCUGAUCUCGGAAGCUAAGCAGAGUUGGGCAUGGUUAGUACUUGGAUGGGAGACCACUUAGGAAGACCAGGUGAUGUAGGCG
This 119-nucleotide ribosomal RNA is filed under the name Pteropus alecto (black flying fox). The record is from RNAcentral. Lineage: Eukaryota; Metazoa; Chordata; Mammalia; Chiroptera; Pteropodidae.